RNAcentral lists this transfer RNA (90 nucleotides) under Coniochaeta pulveracea. It matches the Rfam family "tRNA". Rfam says of the family: Transfer RNA (tRNA) molecules are approximately 80 nucleotides in length. Their secondary structure includes four short double-helical elements and three loops (D, anti-codon, and T loops). Lineage: Eukaryota; Fungi; Ascomycota; Sordariomycetes; Coniochaetales; Coniochaetaceae. The record is from Rfam by way of RNAcentral.
GCGGGUUUAGCUCAGUUGGGAGAGCGUCAGACUGAAGACAAACUUCAUCAGGUAAUCUGAAGGUCGUGUGUUCGAUCCACACAAACCGCA